UUAAAGGAUAAUUGGUAGCUGCU
Molecule: non-coding RNA, 23 nt
Filed under: Cricetulus griseus (Chinese hamster)
Lineage: Eukaryota; Metazoa; Chordata; Mammalia; Rodentia; Cricetidae
Source: RNAcentral